UCAGCACGGCAUCACUGUUCUAGUUGACAAAGAAAGCCUUGACAUCAUGAACGGCACCGUGAUUGAUUAUAAACAAUCCAUGCUCGGCG
This 89-nucleotide transfer RNA is filed under the name Bacillus subtilis subsp. subtilis str. BSP1. RNAcentral describes it as "tRNA-Leu". The record is from RNAcentral. Lineage: Bacteria; Bacillati; Bacillota; Bacilli; Caryophanales; Bacillaceae.